AUGGCUGUUGAUGAUGUGGCUGAUAAAAGAGCCAGACUAUUGGCUUCCAAAAGCAGGUGGAGUGGGAUGAAUGACGUUGCAGCUACUCACCCACUCAUCAACCCCAAUGGAGAAAAAUGUACUAAAGACAGCAUUCAGCAUUGGCUCAUUUCGAUCACUGAGGAAGAUGCUAAACCAGAUGUUGUCCAGGAUGCACCAGGUAAGUGUUCACUUGACAUUGCUUGAAGUGUCAUGUUACUUCUGGCACUGGUUUGUUUUCCAGUGGCAUGAUUAUUGGACAUGUUUAGUGUAGGCUAAUUUAGCUUUGUGAGAUGAAAAAGUGAAGUAUUACUUGUAUCCUUCUCUGAAAGGACAUUUAUAAAGACAUUUUACUUGAGAAGGGGUUUUGCAGCUCUUCCCAGAAGCCACUUGAUGGGCAGUGGCUCUUCAUGCCUGAUCCAGUCAAACAACAUGCAAAGCAGUCCUGCAACAAUCCAGGGCUGGAAACUUAGUCUGUAACUUGAUCUAAUCGGCUUUAUCAACACUAAACGUCCAGGUUUAAUCUUUGUCCUUCUGCAUUAUGUCAUAAAUAUAGUCUAGUUUAUAGUGCUCCUGGUAUGAGAUUAGAGAUGAGGGGAAAAAUACCUGGGAUACUAAGGACGUAAGUGUAAUCAGUUUAAAUCUUUUUUUUUUCCUGAGCAGCUAUACUUAGCUUGUAUUGUACAUAAAAUGGUUGACUCCUGGUUUUAAAUUGUCUAACUGUUGGUUUACACUGUAAUUGGUUUUGUAUAAGCUGUAGAAUAAACAAUGCUGUUCUGUUUAUAGUUCCUCUAAAGAGGAACGCCAGUUCUGAAGAUGAUUUGGCGCUGGGCACAGAAGGUAAGCCUAUUCUCUGUUUUGUAUUGUUCAGGUGAUGAGCACAAGUUUAGAUAAAGCAAAUACUGAUCUGAAACAGGAAUCAUGGUUUUAAACACAUCAAUGAUUUAUCUGAAAUAUGCCUCAAGGUCUAUUGUUUUAGCUUUCAAAGUGGUGAACACACAGACUAGAAUUCUUUCCCAGUACAAGUUUAUUUAUGUUGGAGGGAAUUAGAUUGGCACAGUACUAGGAUGUGUGCACUGUGUUCACGCGUACUCAGCUUCUUCUGGUAGAUGGAGAGAGGGAGAGGGCUGGGGCAGGAGGAAAGGUUCAGGGAGACACCGUUAAGCCUCUCUUCCAUGACUGGAUGUUUAACACAACUCAGAAGAACACUCUGCUCUUGUCCAAACACCGUCACAGUGUGAGGAACACCAGUCCCCCGCUGUCACUCGCCUCUGCCUGAGUGAAGAGAAUGCUUGUUCCAACUUACAAAAUGACGUAAAGAUGGGAUAGAAUAAGGUAAGGCGGAAAAAGCAUUUGUGAAUUCUGUGUGAAUGGAGAGAUCGGAGAUAGGUGGAAUGGUGUUCUUCCACAAUGGAUGUAGAGAACGCGCUCUGCUUGUGGAGAGGAGUUAGCACUACUGCCAUCUCUGGAAUACAGCAUACAUGGGACGUGGAGCUUUAGUGGACCUUGUCUAGCAGCUUUAUUUGUCCUCUAUGCAUUGGCAUGGGUCUGUGCAGACAUAACAGGGGGCAUAUCAGGACAGUCCGUUCCCCCCCUGCAUGGAUUGGUUUUCAUUGUUAUGUACUACUUGUUGUCCUCAUUCACUCUAGAUGUCUCCUCAGAGGCUUUCUUCUUUUCUAUCAAGACAGCAGGAAACAUCCACUGUGAAUUUUUGUGGAUCUUUCUGGGCGUAUGGGCUAUUUUGCCCACUGUCAAGCAUUGCUUCAUUUAUGGAUGUGGAACUGCGAUUAUACAAUGGCAGCCAAGAAGAUUAUGAGUCUUAGGAAGGGAGUGAAAUGCUGGAAUGGACUGGAAUGCCAUCGCUCUACAGAAUCAAACACAUCUAAUGCUUUGGCAGAAGGAGAGGAGACAUAAUAGGAGAGGCCUGCAUUGGAAAUGCUCUUAUGAGAAGACACUUGGUCUCACGUUGUCCUUGACAUUAUGCCAAAGAGAGAUGAAGGAAAAACGUUGAUGGUUCGGUAUGAGAGGACAGCCAAAUGAAAACAAGAAGAACGCUUUCCUAAUAUAGCUUCUGUGGUACUGCUCUAAUGUUGAUGACAGCAACCAGGGAGACUUGAGUUCUUGAGCAUGUUUUAUUGCCACAAGCUAAUGUGUCAGUUCAAAAUGACCUCUUCUCUUUUCUGCCUUUUUCCAAAACAGCAUCAUUAUAUGGUAAACCUGCUAUAAGGACAGCACAAGGAUUUCUAAGGUAAGGUUCUCUCAUCUGUUUCCUUUUUUAAAGUAAACAUUAUAGAAAUGUGAUCUAUGCAGCCAUG
Long non-coding RNA from Pygocentrus nattereri (red-bellied piranha), 2333 nucleotides. The record is from Ensembl. Lineage: Eukaryota; Metazoa; Chordata; Actinopteri; Characiformes; Serrasalmidae.